GAUGAACGCUGGCGGCGUGCUUAACACAUGCAAGUCGAACGAUGAACCCGGAGCUUGCUCCGUUGGAUUAGUGGCGAACGGGUGAGUAACACGUGAGUAACCUGCCCUUGACUCUGGGAUAACUGCGGGAAACUGUAGCUAAUACCGGAUACGACCCUCGGCGGCAUCGCCAGGGGGUGGAAAGAAUUUCGGCCCGGGCUGUGCUCGCGGCCUAUCAGCUUGAUGGUGAGGUAAUGGCUCACCAUGGCUUCGACGGGUAGCCGGCCUGAGAGGGUGACCGGUCACACUGGGAAUGAGACACGGCCCAGACUCCUACGGGAGGCAGCAGUGGGGAAUAGUGGACAAUGGGCGGAAGCCUGAUCCAGCAACGCCGCGUGAGGGAUGACGGCCUUCGGGUUGUAAACCUCUUUCAGCAGGGACGAAGCGCAAGUGACGGUACCUGCAGAAGAAGCACCGGCCAACUACGUGCCAGCCGCCGCGGUAA
RNAcentral lists this ribosomal RNA (484 nucleotides) under uncultured bacterium. Its description in RNAcentral is "partial 16S ribosomal RNA". It matches the Rfam family "Bacterial small subunit ribosomal RNA", at positions 28 to 523 of the family's 1533-position model. The record is from RNAcentral.